UUAAGCGGACCGCCUGGGGAGUACGGCCGCAAGGUUAAACCUCAAAUGAAUUGACCGGGGCCCGCACAAGCGGUGGAGCAUGUGGUUUAAUUCGAUGCAACGCGAAGAACCUUACCUGGUCUUGACAUCCAGAGAAUCCUGCAGAGAUGCGGGAGUGCCUUCGGGAACUCUGAGACAGGUGCUGCAUGGCUGUCGUCAGCUCGUGUUGUGAAAUGUUGGGUUAAGUCCCGCAACGAGCGCACCCCUUAUCC
Molecule: ribosomal RNA, 251 nt
Filed under: Cronobacter sakazakii
Lineage: Bacteria; Pseudomonadati; Pseudomonadota; Gammaproteobacteria; Enterobacterales; Enterobacteriaceae
Description: partial 16S ribosomal RNA
Rfam family: Bacterial small subunit ribosomal RNA
Source: RNAcentral